RNAcentral lists this ribosomal RNA (546 nucleotides) under Triticum aestivum (bread wheat). Its description in RNAcentral is "partial small subunit ribosomal RNA". The record is from RNAcentral. Lineage: Eukaryota; Viridiplantae; Streptophyta; Magnoliopsida; Poales; Poaceae.
AUGGCCAAGCUCUGCGCCGUCCUCCUCGCCGCCUGCGCCGCCCUCCUGGCGCUCGGUGCCGUGCCGUCACUCGCCGGCGACCCCAACAUGCUCCAGGACGUCUGCGUCGCCGACUACAUAUCCCUUCACGGCCCGCUGAGGGUGAACGGAUACCCGUGCAAGCGUGCGGAGAACGUGACGGCGGACGACUUCUUCUACGGUGGGCUGGCGAGCGCGGCCGACGUGUACGGCGGCGGCAAUCCGAUGGGCUCCGUGCUGACCGCGGCAGACGUGGAGAGGCUCCCGGGGCUGAACACACUGGGCAUCUCCAUGUCCCGCAUCGACUACGCGCCCUGGGGCGGCACGAACCCACCUCACUCGCACCCCGUCGGCGAGGCGCCUGCCGUGGCGAUCUCGGCGUUCGACAGCCAGCUCCCCGGCACGCAGAGGCUCGGCGAGGCCAUGUUCGGGGCGGGGCCGGGGGUGCCCACGGACGUGCUGGCCCGGGCGCUGCAGACCGACGGCGGCGUGGUGGAGAGCAUCAGGGCCAAGUUCCAGCCAAAGUAG